UACGGAGGGUGCAAGCGUUAUCCGGAUUUAUUGGGUUUAAAGGGUCCGUAGGUUGGAUUGUAAGUCAGUGGUGAAAUCUUUCGGCUUAACCGGAAAACUGCCAUUGAUACUGCAGUUCUUGAGUAUGCUCGGUGUAGGCGGAAUAUGUCAUGUAGCGGUGAAAUGCAUAGAUAUGACAUAGAACACCGAUAGCGAAGGCAGCUUACAAGCGCAUAACUGACACUGAGGGACGAAAGCGUGGGGAGCGAACAGG
RNAcentral lists this ribosomal RNA (253 nucleotides) under uncultured bacterium. Its description in RNAcentral is "partial 16S ribosomal RNA". It matches the Rfam family "Bacterial small subunit ribosomal RNA", at positions 524 to 776 of the family's 1533-position model. The record is from RNAcentral.